Siniperca chuatsi (mandarin fish) is the source of this 802-nucleotide long non-coding RNA. RefSeq lists it as uncharacterized. Lineage: Eukaryota; Metazoa; Chordata; Actinopteri; Centrarchiformes; Sinipercidae. The transcript has 4 exons. The record is from RefSeq and is a predicted model, not a curated record.
AUUUACUUUUAUUUAACCCUCCUCUUUUUGUUGAAGUACAAACUGCUCCACUGUUAUGAGACAGGAGUUGAUGAAGAAAUAACAAGUGGAAAGCAUCAGUGGACUUUUUUACGGUAGAAAUGGGCCGGGCAGAACCGUUUGCAAACCACCAUCACCAUGCUAGAAAGUGUGGGCCCUUAGGAGUGUCGCUUCCAGCCACACAGCAAACUACCCCAUCCCCGACAAACAACAAGUGAACCAGAGAUCUCCCCCUGUCCCAAUGCACUAGACACUUACAGCUCCAGCACUGGGCAAAGCACUCCUCUGCAGAAAGGAAGACUCCCUUUGUGCGCGGUCAAAUGCUUACACCUGAUCCCUCUGAACCCCAGCAACACCCCCAUCCCGCUCCUCAUCCCCCAAAUGAGGAGAAACAACUGUGGAAUAUACUGUAGGUGUGGUGGAAAAAUGUUGUUCUUGUGUCAUUGUUAUGGUAAAACAUGAAACUCAAUACAUUAUACAACGUGUUAACAAAACAGAAAACGUAACAUUUAAAUAACAGCGCUGAGAAAAAAACAAAAAAAAAACACAUCAUUUUUAUAUUUUGAAAGAAUUUAACAUUUACUAUAAGCUCAAUAAUUACUGCAAUGUCUUUAUAUAUUAAGAAUAUACAAAUAGUUGGUCUUUUAUUAAUAUUAUUGGAUAUCAUUACCAAGUCAUAGUAGAACAGCACCAUCAACGUUUUACCUGCUACCACUGCACAGAAAGAAACAUUUUCUUUUCACUGUGAUUACACACGAUCACAGGUGGCCUUGUUGGAGGAGAG